GUUUUUAAAUUGUUUUGAACUUCUCUGUGAAAGUAUUUCUGAAGGAAAAUGGAGAAAACUUACAUGGCCAAGGCUCAGCCUUUCCUGCAGCAUUUCUUAGCUAGAGGACAAGGCCUCCUGUCUGCAGAGGACUUUGGCCGGGCUUUCUGUAAUAAUGCUGCCUCUCGUCAGAAGGCACUUUGGUGCUUUGAGUUACUUGGACAUCUCCUGUUAAGUAGUCACUCAGACACCCCUGAGAAUUACUCUGCUAAUCUCAUUUCUUACUGCUGGGUGCCUAUGGAAAUAUGGUCAGGUCCUUAUCACCAAAUGUACUGCACUUGGAUAAUGAAAGGGCAUUAUUCAUCUGUUCUACAGCAAGUGGGAGCUGGCUGUCCAGGAGAGCAGUAGAGAGCUAGAAAUUCACUUGGAGCUCUUUUGGCUGUAUCUGGUACUGCCUGCAAGCAGGAGUAGCAUUCACAAGCCUCCUGCCCUCAGUUUUUGAUUGAGCUCCUGAGUAAUGGCCAAGAGGUGGAAGAUUUUUCUUUUGGGGACAUUCACCUUGAGAGUUAGGACAACCACCAAAAUGUUUCUUUUAUUAAACACCUCUAGUGCUACUUCUGUCUUUUCUGGGAUUGGAUGGUGUACCCCUGAGAAGAACAGCAAAUCUUAAGGUCCUUUAAACCAGUAAGGGGGAAGCAGGAAAACAAUGCAGCUUGUUUUGUACUGUUGACAUAAAUUUCAAGGACUAUUCUCUUCAUUUGGCUUUUGCCUUUCUCAUCAGGAAAACAUGAUCACGAGUUAUCCCAGUGAAUGCAGAAGUGGUGGGUGUUUGUCUGUGUCUCCUUCUCCAGUGAACUCUGCCUGUUCUCUGGCUGCCCAGACUCAGCACUGCUAUGGAGGCUGUUCCCCUGCCAGCACAAGCAAGGGAGGUGCUUCUGCAGCCUGUGGAUGACUGGGGGGGAUGCUUUUGUGAUGUGGGGGCUGCUUUGUCUCUUGGGAGGAGCUGAGGAAGCAGGGGGCUGGGAAGAGAGGAGCCAACACCACGUGCAUCUGGGGCAGCCUGAUGACUAUUGCCCUAAAGCAUCCAGUUUGGGAUGUGUGGGUGCCAAGAGUGGACUUCAUGUGGGAGAAGACAUUCUGGAUCUGUUCAGGUUUGCUCUCUCUGUCACAGUGCUGUCUGCAGGACAUUUCCAACCCUGCAAAGGGAGCCACACUGCUUCACAAGGC
Molecule: long non-coding RNA, 1206 nt
Organism: Onychostruthus taczanowskii (white-rumped snowfinch)
Lineage: Eukaryota; Metazoa; Chordata; Aves; Passeriformes; Passeridae
Exons: 3
Source: RefSeq, a predicted model, not a curated record